GGCAUAAACUUGAUGUAGAGUAUACUAGUAUGGUCAAGCUGACCCUACUAAUCUACUCUACUUCAAAUUUAGGCUC
Haemonchus contortus (barber pole worm) is the source of this 76-nucleotide non-coding RNA. The record is from Rfam. Lineage: Eukaryota; Metazoa; Nematoda; Chromadorea; Rhabditida; Trichostrongylidae.